CUAGCUUUGCCAAUGACCUCCACUCUUUGUAAUUGUCUCUCUUCACAGAUGCUCUGAACUUGGAAACCUCAUGCCUGAAUAACUUUCCUGUGCACGGCUGGGAUCAGCCUUGUAGACACAGCUCUGGUAGCUGCAAGUUUGAAAGCUGUGACCUGGGACAUGCAUCCACUUCAGAUGUGACAUUGGUGGGGUGCAAGUGGAAAAUAUGUUCUGCUGAUAACCAUACCGAUGCAGACCUUCCUGUUUCCAUUACAAUGAUGGACUCUUCACUUACUGAGAUUGACUGUGCAGAGCCAACACUACCAGCCAGUCUGAUCCCAUCCAG
RNAcentral lists this long non-coding RNA (325 nucleotides) under Otus sunia (Oriental scops-owl). RNAcentral's name for it is "lncRNA (ENSOSUG00000001998.1)". Lineage: Eukaryota; Metazoa; Chordata; Aves; Strigiformes; Strigidae. The record is from RNAcentral.